UGGAAAGAGAGGAAGGGAAGUCAUUGGUAUGUUAAGGAUAUAUAAAUGAGUACUUUAAAUUGUAAAACAGAAAAAUUUUGUGUGUGUGUGUGUGUGUGUGUGUGUGUGUGUGUGUGUGUGUGAAAGAUCCAGGUCUGUGGCUGAAGAGCAAUGACGUAGCAUGUGUGUGACAUAAAAAUUUGGCACCCCUUCACCUCUCCGC
This is a non-coding RNA of Podarcis lilfordi (Lilford's wall lizard), 202 nucleotides long. The record is from the annotation of a GenBank genome assembly. Lineage: Eukaryota; Metazoa; Chordata; Lepidosauria; Squamata; Lacertidae.